GAUGAACGCUGGCGGCGUGCCUAAUACAUGCAAGUCGAGCGAACAGAUGAGGAGCUUGCUCCUCUGACGUUAGCGGCGGACGGGUGAGUAACACGUGGAUAACCUACCUAUAAGACUGGGAUAACUUCGGGAAACCGGAGCUAAUACCGGAUAAUAUAUUGAACCGCAUGGUUCAAUAGUGAAAGACGGUUUUGCUGUCACUUAUAGAUGGAUCCGCGCCGCAUUAGCUAGUUGGUAAGGUAACGGCUUACCAAGGCAACGAUGCGUAGCCGACCGGAGAGGGUGAUCGGCCACACUGGAACUGAGACACGGUCCAGACUCCUACGGGAGGCAGCAGUAGGGAAUCUUCCGCAAAGGGCGAAAGCCUGACGGAGCAACGCCGCGUGAGUGAUGAAGGUCUUCGGAUCGUAAAACUCUGUUAUUAGGGAAGAACAAAUGUGUAAGUAACUAUGCACGUCUUGACGGUACCUAAUCAGAAAGCCACGGCUAACUACGUG
RNAcentral lists this ribosomal RNA (497 nucleotides) under uncultured bacterium. RNAcentral describes it as "partial 16S ribosomal RNA". It matches the Rfam family "Bacterial small subunit ribosomal RNA", at positions 28 to 507 of the family's 1533-position model. The record is from RNAcentral.